RNAcentral lists this ribosomal RNA (484 nucleotides) under uncultured bacterium. Its description in RNAcentral is "bacterial SSU rRNA". It matches the Rfam family "Bacterial small subunit ribosomal RNA", at positions 19 to 518 of the family's 1533-position model. The record is from RNAcentral.
AUGGCUCAGGACGAACGCUGGCGGCGUGCCUAACACAUGCAAGUCGAACGGAGUAAGAAUUCGGUUUUACUUAGUGGCGAACGGGUGAGUAACGCGUGAACAACCUGCCUUCCUGAGGGGGAUAACAACCUGGAAACAAGUGCUAAUACCGCAUAAGACCACAGAGCCGCAUGGCCCAGGGGUCAAAGGAGAGAUCCGCAGGAAGAGGGGUUCGCGUCCCAUUAGCUAGUUGGCGGGGCAACGGCCACCAAGGCGACGAUGGGUAGCCGAGCUGGGAGGCUGAUCGGCCACACUGGAACUGAGACGCGGUCCAGACUCCUACGGGAGGCAGCAGUGGGGAAUAUUGGGCAAUGGGCGCAAGCCCUGACCCAGCAACGCCGCGUGAGGGAAGAAGGUCUUCGGAUUGUAAACCUCUGUCCUAUGUGACGAAGGAAGUGACGGUAGCAUAGGAGGAAGCCCCGGCUAACUACGUGCCAGCCGCCGC